This 1797-nucleotide long non-coding RNA is filed under the name Olea europaea subsp. europaea. Lineage: Eukaryota; Viridiplantae; Streptophyta; Magnoliopsida; Lamiales; Oleaceae. The record is from RNAcentral.
AAAAUAAAUAAAAUUUAAGAUUAAAUGUUCAUAAUAAAAGGUUCAUUGCAAAUCAUAGCACAAAAUAAUUUAGCCUAACAUAAUGUGAAAAUUAAACAAAGAAAAGUGAAAAGACGUCACCAAAAAUCGACCGAACGUGAUCAAUUCCUCAAAUUCGUAUUUUAGCCACCGACUUCCUUCAAUUUUCUGCUCCUAUGGUCACUGCCUAUAUCUUAAUUCCAGCCACCAUUUUUGUUCGUGUAAUUUCUCCAAUUUUUCCCGUUUCCUGUAUGCGCGUCUCUCUGUAUAUAUAAGACAGCACCCCCUUUCUUUAUUUCCAGCAGCCAACAAUUGUUAUGUAAAUUUCUGAUUUCUUGUUUCUGUCCGUGUAUCUUUCAUAUACCUGAACAAUUAAGCCCAUGUGUUGUAGACAAAUUAGGAGUCCAAGUCACAUUGAAUUUUGAUUCCCAAACAAGUCCAAUUGAGGUCAAUGUUUUUAUUUCCACUUCCGGCAGAUUCUCCAAGUGCACUCAAGGCCCAAUUUCAAUGUCAAUAUACAAUUUAUCUUCCAAGCCAUGCAAUCUUUCAAGUAAUGCAAUUUUAGACCUUGGAUUUUCGUUUUCUUCCGUUUUGGUCCUUUUCCAUUCACUUUCUCUUGAAUUCUGCCUUAUUCAUCAACAUUGUCCUACAAAAUGAAAUUAUAUAGAAUUAAGCUAUAUCCAAACAUUUUCAUCAACAAUUAGUCAUGUUUUGUAAACCAAAUAAGUGGGUAGAAACGUACUUAUCAUCUACCAACGAAGCUUUGAGCUAAAGGCACGACCUACCUACUAUGAUAGCCAUAUACGAUCAAAGUAAGAUAGUGAGUACAGAUUUUGUUCACAGAUUCAUCACUUGGUGUAAGAGUGAAAGGUGAUGUCUGAUUUUCAUAAACGGUGUCAGAGUAGGUGGAUGUUUUUUUUUUUUUUUUGAUAUCCAUGUAUCCCAGCAUAAACUAGACUAAAUCCUGGACCCCCAAGAUCCUUGCCCCUAGAACCUUGGAGGGGGUAAAUAGCGGGUUAUGCCUCAAUUGGAUCACAGAUUCCCCCCCACCCCCUGUACACUUCUGCGCGCAAGAGAUUCUCCUCCAAAGUGAUUGCUCCAUACCAAAUAAAUUUGGCCGCAGGUUCCCACCAAGAUUCGAACCUCCACCCUGCUACUGUAAGUAAUACAAAUGUUGAUUGAUCCACCAGUUGAGCUAUGCCCCGAGGGGCAAAAGGUGGAUGUUAACCAGAUGGAGCAGUAGAUAGAGAGAGACCACGGAGAGAGAGAAUAUCCUAUAUAUUUCGGGUCAAAUAUUUGGUGUGGAAUCUGGGUGUGGGGUGGUGAUGGAGAUGGGGUGGGAUGCACCUAUAUUUUGAAAGAAAAAUCUUUGUACUUGAUUAUUGAAAUGAGAAGUUAAAAAAUGGGGAGAGGGUGUAAUUUCCUCUUACUCAAAAACAAGCUUUCUGACAAGAUUUGUAGUUUUCAAACUGUAUACUUACAAAAUAGAAGUACUGGCGAUGCAGAUCUGGUCAUGAUACUAGUGGUAGUCUUGUUUUAGCAAGGGUCAAGUGAACGUGUUUAGCUUGGGUCUUGGAGAUAGUGGUAAUCGAUUGAAUUUGGUCGAGAUGGUAGUGUCAUGUGAUCAGACUUGGUGGAGAUGAAGGUCGAAUGCGAUCAGAUAUGGUGGGCUUAGUGGUGGAGCAGAACAAGAUAUGGCUCAUUCUAUUCUUAGUAAUCAUUGGAUUGACUCAGUGCUAUAAUCGAAAUCUGGAAGGAAAAAUCUGGAAUGAAAUACUU